This 221-nucleotide long non-coding RNA is filed under the name Lathyrus oleraceus (garden pea). RNAcentral describes it as "Pisum sativum (pea) long non-coding RNA (PSAT_LNC028834)". Lineage: Eukaryota; Viridiplantae; Streptophyta; Magnoliopsida; Fabales; Fabaceae. The record is from RNAcentral.
AUUGGUUCACCCCAACUUGUUCAUACCGGUACCGUUACAUUAUUUUUUUUCCUUCUUUUUAUUUUCGCAGAGAGAGAGUUUAUCAGUUAGUGAGAGAGAAUGUGAGUGGGUUUUUAUGGGUAGUGAUGAGUGAGGGUGAGCCACGUGAGAGAUGUGUGAGUCUUCUCUCUUUUAUUUUUAUUUUCUUUUCUUUUUCUACUGUGAGAAACAUUGGAGAGAAG